AUGGAAGACCUUGCCGCUUCGAUCAUGUCGCUCUCGCACAGCGCCCCGCUCUACCUGUUCUUCGACGUCCCCUCCUGGGAGGAGUGCUGCCUCCACGAAGACAUCAGCGGCGGCUUGGAGCUUGCCGCGGCUGGCGCCAAGAGCGUCGGCGAUGGCAAUGACAGCGCCGAGCCGCGCGCGUGCGCCAGCCAGCUCUUCCGCGGUGGCGCGCAGCUCCCUCUGAAGCUGCCGCCGCGGCUGCAGCAUCCGGCUGACUGGUCCGCCGCGUCCUCCGCCGCCACUUCGCCGACCCCGCAGGCGCAACUAUGCAUGGUGCCGUCGUGGCGCCCGUUCACGAGCAGCACGAGGCACAGGGACUUCGACCCGUUCGCCGCCGCGCUGGACAAGGUACGCCGGGACGGCGCCGCGCCCCUGCCCAGCAGGCCCAUGCGCCGCGCGAGGUCGCUCUCGCACUCGCCGCUUCGGGGCGCCCAGGCCACCGCGACGAGCCUAAACAUCUCGCGCCUCGCGAAGAAGGCGAGCAGGAUGCCAUCGCAGAGGAGCACGAGGAGGACGGGCGUCAAGCACCUGCUGUGCUGGGCUGCGACGGCAAGCUCGGCCGCGGUUCCGGCACCUGGGAAGGACGGCGCCGCGUCUUACCGGCGGCCGAGUCUCUUGGUCUGCUUUGGCUUUUAA
Molecule: ribosomal RNA, 675 nt
Filed under: Triticum aestivum (bread wheat)
Lineage: Eukaryota; Viridiplantae; Streptophyta; Magnoliopsida; Poales; Poaceae
Description: partial small subunit ribosomal RNA
Source: RNAcentral